RNAcentral lists this non-coding RNA (104 nucleotides) under candidate division WS6 bacterium GW2011_GWA2_37_6. The record is from RNAcentral.
ACGGUGGACUCCAUAAUGUAUAAUUGCCUUAUACUGACGAAAUUAUGGACAAUACCGUGGGAAGUCUAACUUCAGAGAUAAAAUCGAUGGUAAAAUGUUACCUU